CAAGUCGAACGGACUCAUAUUGAAACCUAGUGAUUUAUGAGUUAGUGGCGGACGGGUGAGUAACGCGUGGAUAACCUGCCGUAUACCGGGGGAUAACACUUAGAAAUAGGUGCUAAUACCGCAUAAGCGCACGGCUCCGCAUGGGGCAGUGUGAAAAACUCCGGUGGUAUACGAUGGAUCCGCGUCUGAUUAGCUAGUUGGCGGGGUAACGGCCCACCAAGGCAGCGAUCAGUAGCCGGCCUGAGAGGGUGGACGGCCACAUUGGGACUGAGACACGGCCCAAACUCCUACGGGAGGCAGCAGUGGGGAAUAUUGCACAAUGGGGGAAACCCUGAUGCAGCGACGCCGCGUGAGUGAAGAAGUAUCUCGGUACGUAAAGCUCUAUCAGCAGGGAAGAAAAUGACGGUACCUGACUAAGAAGCCCCGGCUAACUACGUGCCAGCAGCCGCGGUAAUACGUAGGGGGCAAGCGUUAUCCGGAUUUACUGGGUGUAAAGGGAGCGUAGACGGCAGCACAAGUCUGGAGUGAAAUCCCGGGGCUUAACCCCGGAACUGCUUUGGAAACUGUGCGGCUGGAGUGCAGGAGGGGUAAGCGGAAUUCCUAGUGUAGCGGUGAAAUGCGUAGAUAUUAGGAGGAACACCGGUGGCGAAGGCGGCUUACUGGACUGUAACUGACGUUGAGGCUCGAAAGCGUGGGGAGCAAACAGGAUUAGAUACCCUGGUAGUCCACGCCGUAUACGAUGAUUACUAGGUGUCGGGGGAUCAAGGUCCUCCGGUGCCGGCGCAA
Molecule: ribosomal RNA, 786 nt
Filed under: uncultured bacterium
Lineage: Bacteria
Description: bacterial SSU rRNA
Rfam family: Bacterial small subunit ribosomal RNA
Source: RNAcentral